GAAAAAAACACAAAAUUAAUUUAUAACUUUUAAAAACUGAACCUUUUUCAAGGCCUAAUAUAAUCAGCAUUUUAAAAAAAGAUGAAAAACUAUUUUGCCCUAAUAAACUAUUUCCUUUUUUUCCUUAAUACUCAUUUCUGUCUGGAGACAUCUCGCUACAAAUACACACACAGACACAAAUAAAACCUGAGGCCUCUGGCAGAAAUUAUAAAAUACACAACUGCUACCUAAUUUCUAUUUUAAGGGCAAACAAGAACAGAUGUUAGCUAUUCAGCAGAGCAGUGAGGCAUGCAUGCGUUAAAAGCAAGCCCUCCAAGACUCAACCUGUUCCCUCCUCAACCAAAACGUAAAGCCCUGCCUGAUCAUAACAGUUCAUUUAUGAACUAUUCAAGUUACUACAGAAAACAAUUUGAAGAGAGUGAAAUUUUUGAGAAAGAAAAAGGUAUGAAAGACAGCAACUGAAGGAAAAUGCUUGUAUUAAGAAAGACAGCGCUCUAAACAUGGCAUGACAUGAGAAGUAACAGAAGUAGAUCUGAGGAUGAAGGAGAAGCUUAAUCUAGACAUGUGACAUGAAUUAAAGUCAAGGACAGCAUCAUAUAAACAAAGACAGCAAAGACCAAAUAUGGGAGACUGCAAAAAUGAUAAUAUUUUCUAACUUCUCUAACCAAAAGGUAGAGUCUAUCUCUCCAUUUAAUGAGUUUGGGCUUACUCUGUGACUUGGUUUGUGCAAGAGGACACAGCAAAAGUGAUGUGUUAUUUCUGAACCUAGUUCUCUAAAAGCCUUGCAAAUUCUACUCUGGCUCUUUAAAUCCCUGAAACCACUAUAUGAAAUAACCCAGGUGAAAUGGUUAACUUUAUGUGUCCAUCUGACUGGGCCAAGGGGUGCUUAGACAUUAGGUCAAAUGUUAUUCUAGGUUUGUCUGUUAGGGUGAUUUUGGAUGAAAUUAACAUUUGAAUUGGUAGGCUAUGAAUGGGCCUUACCCAAUCAACUGAAGUACCGGAAUAGAACAAAAAGGCUGAGUAUGAAGGAACUUCUGCUUGGCUGCACUGAGCUGGGACACUGGUGGUCUUCUCCUACUUUCAGACAAGAACUGAAACAACGGCUCUUCUUGCAUCUUGGGCUUGCUGGCAUUUGGACUGGAACUUAUCCCGUCAGUUACCCUGGCUCUCAGGCCUUUGGCUCAGACUGGAACUACAUGAUCUGUUCUCCUGGGUCUCCAGCAUGCCCACAGAAGAUCUUGAGACUUCUCACUCUCCAUAAUGAAAUUAUUACCAAAUCACCUUGGAGAAGGAGUUGAGCUCGAUAAACUGGAAGAGAAGUUGUAAGAAAAGUAUGAAGUCGAACAGCCAGAAGAAAUUUUAAGCCACAUUCAUCAAGAGUUUCUC
Dama dama (fallow deer) is the source of this 1386-nucleotide long non-coding RNA. RefSeq lists it as uncharacterized. The record is from RefSeq and is a predicted model, not a curated record. NCBI's taxonomy places the organism in Eukaryota, Metazoa, Chordata, Mammalia, Artiodactyla, Cervidae. The transcript has 3 exons.